This 460-nucleotide ribosomal RNA is filed under the name uncultured bacterium. RNAcentral describes it as "partial 16S ribosomal RNA". It matches the Rfam family "Bacterial small subunit ribosomal RNA", at positions 338 to 795 of the family's 1533-position model. The record is from RNAcentral.
CCUACGGGAGGCAGCAGUGAGGAAUAUUGGUCAAUGGGCGCGAGCCUGAACCAGCCAAGUCGCGUGAGGGAUGACGGUCCUACGGAUUGUAAACCUCUUUUGCCGGGGAGCAAGCGUGCGUUCGUGAACGCGCGUCGAGAGUACCCGGAGAAAAAGCAUCGGCUAACUCCGUGCCAGCAGCCGCGGUAAUACGGAGGAUGCGAGCGUUAUCCGGAUUUAUUGGGUUUAAAGGGUGCGUAGGCGGAUUUUUAAGUCAGCGGUAAAAUGUCCGGGCUCAACCCGGGCCGGCCGUUGAAACUGGGGAUCUUGAGUGGGCGAGAAGUAUGCGGAAUGCGUGGUGUAGCGGUGAAAUGCAUAGAUAUCACGCAGAACUCCGAUUGCGAAGGCAGCAUACCGGCGCCCGACUGACGCUGAGGCACGAAAGCGUGGGGAUCGAACAGGAUUAGAUACCCUUGUAGUC